GUUGUUGCAUCAACAGUACAUUUACUAAAAUUGGCACAAUAUAGAGAAGAUUAGGAAGGCCCUUGCAUAAGGAUGUCACACAAAUUCUUGAAAGGUUUUAUAUUUCA
Sarcophilus harrisii (Tasmanian devil) is the source of this 107-nucleotide small nuclear RNA. The record is from Ensembl. Lineage: Eukaryota; Metazoa; Chordata; Mammalia; Dasyuromorphia; Dasyuridae.